This 400-nucleotide long non-coding RNA is filed under the name Nicotiana tabacum (common tobacco). RNAcentral describes it as "long non-coding RNA (NTAB_LNC001790)". The record is from RNAcentral. Lineage: Eukaryota; Viridiplantae; Streptophyta; Magnoliopsida; Solanales; Solanaceae.
AAAAUUUUCUGCCAAUUGUCGAAAUUUUUCUCGGAAGAACGGGGAAACAAUUUCAAUACUUUAAGUUCUAGGUCGCCCACCAGUAUAAUGCAGGAAUACAUUUAAGUUCUAGGUCGCCCACCAGUAUAAUGCGGGAAUACAUUUAAGUUCUAGGUCGCCCACCAGUAAAAUGCGGGAAUACAUUUAAUUUCUAGGUCGCCCACCAGUAUAAUGCGGGAAUACAUUUUAAGUUCUAGGUCGCCCACCAGUAUAAUGCGGGAUUACAUAUAAGUUCUAGGUCACCCACCAGUAUAAUGCGGGAAUACAUUUAAGUUCUAGGUCGCCCACCAGUAAAAUGCGGGAAUACAUUUAAGUUCUAGGUCGCCCACCAGUAAAAUGCGGGAAUACAUUUAAGUUCUAG